Balaenoptera acutorostrata (minke whale) is the source of this 1119-nucleotide long non-coding RNA. RefSeq lists it as uncharacterized. Lineage: Eukaryota; Metazoa; Chordata; Mammalia; Artiodactyla; Balaenopteridae. The record is from RefSeq and is a predicted model, not a curated record. The transcript is spliced from 4 exons.
GGUCUAAUCAAACCAGUGUACCAGUGACACAAGAAAUCAUUGAAAAACUGUGGGAGAAGAGCUGAAACUCUCUAGAAAGUUCAUUAAUGACCAGAAUAGAUUAUAUAAUCUAUAUACAAUCAUGGAGAAUUGAGAUGGGUACUUGAAAAACAAAAACCAACGAAAAAAAACAUAUUCUCCCCACCUCCUCUAAUCCUUUGAAUUUAAAUCAUUCCCAUCAUUGAGGUCAAAGGUGUUUGGGCCACCUGAAGUACAGAAUUAAUUUUCUUCUCCAUUUUCUAUUGAUUUAUUAAUUAUAAAUGUAGUCUUCUGUUUACCUAAGAGACAGGAAUACAAUUGCUAUUUCAAGUCACUUUUACUUUCUAUUUACUUUUUUUUUUUUUAUCAGCACACAAGCAUGUUCUAGUGUCUCUUACCUUUAAAAAAAAAAAUCCACCCUUACUCCUUAGAGCUAUCAGUUGAUUUCUCCCCUCUUCACUGAAAAACUUCUGAAAGAAUUGUGGGCUCAUGAAUUAUCUCCAUUUCUUAUCUUUCCAUUUGUUCUUCAGACUUCUCCACUCUGGCUUCUGCCCACACUGCUCUGCCAAAAGUGCUCUCUCCAAGGUAACCAGUAACCUCUAUGUCGUCCUUUCUGGGGAGCAUUUCUGAGUCCUCAUCUUCCUGGAAUGCUCCUUAGAGGACCAUCUGAGAAUCCUUCUACUGCACACGGAAGAAAAACCAACUCAAACUGUGGCAAACAAAGCAGUCUGCCUUUCCACAGAAAGUCAGAAAAUAGAAAUUCUGACUUUUUCAGCUACACCCAGUUCUUUCUACAAAGAGUAAACAUGAAGACUCCUGUAGCAAAAAAAUGAAGUUUCAACCAGUUUACAGAACUCAGCAAGGUCAGGAUGAACGACGGAAUCACAAAGGACUAAGGAAUUCCACAGGGCCUAGAUUUCCAGGAGAGGUUUUCGCCUGUCUUGAAACUACAGAAGUAAAACCUGAAGUUAUGAUCCAGGCUAUAACUGAGCUGUAUAAUAAAUAAUGAACCUCAGAUUCAAUGAAAUAUAACAGACCUCAUCAUCCAAUACAAAAGCUGUAUUACUGAACACUACUGAAGAAAAGUAAGACCAUUUACUU